CGGCGGGUAGGGCUGGGGGGCUAGCCCUCCCCUAAAACCUGAAACGGGCUUAGGCAGGGGCCAGUAACCAGGGUGGAAGGGGGUGCCGACUCUCGGAGGGCGUCGGAAAGGGGCGGGAUGAAGCCGCGUCCCGCUGGAGCGCGGUAGGGUGUGGCGCCACGCGUAGGCGGGGCCUCCCACACUCUCAUGCGCCGAACCGCGUCAGGCCCGGGAGGGAGCAGCGCUAAGGCGCAACCGUGCUGCUGGCGGGGGGUCGUGGAUGACACGCGCCUCUGAUUGCCGCCGGGAGCUCGGUCCUCGACUGCCUGGGGGCCGCCG
This 318-nucleotide signal recognition particle RNA is filed under the name Nitrososphaerota archaeon. RNAcentral's name for it is "signal recognition particle sRNA". It matches the Rfam family "Archaeal signal recognition particle RNA". RNAcentral also lists the same sequence under 1 other name. Lineage: Archaea; Thermoproteati; Nitrososphaerota. The record is from RNAcentral.